GACGAACGCUGGCGGCGUGCUUAACACAUGCAAGUCGAACGCUGAAGCCCAGCUUUUGUUGGGUGGAUGAGUGGCGAACGGGUGAGUAACACGUGAGUAACCUGCCUCCUUCUUUGGGAUAACGCCCGGAAACGGGUGCUAAUACUGGAUAUUCACUGGUCUUCGCAUGGGGGUUGGUGGAAAGGGUUUUUCUGGUGGGGGAUGGGCUCGCGGCCUAUCAGCUUGUUGGUGGGGUGAUGGCCUACCAAGGCUUUGACGGGUAGCCGGCCUGAGAGGGUGACCGGUCACAUUGGGACUGAGAUACGGCCCAGACUCCUACGGGAGGCAGCAGUGGGGAAUAUUGCACAAUGGGCGCAAGCCUGAUGCAGCGACGCCGCGUGAGGGAUGGAGGCCUUCGGGUUGUGAACCUCUUUCGCUCAUGGUCAAGCCGCAACAAUGGUUGUGGUGAGGGUAGUGGGUAAAGAAGCGCCGGCUAACUACGUG
RNAcentral lists this ribosomal RNA (483 nucleotides) under uncultured bacterium. RNAcentral describes it as "partial 16S ribosomal RNA". It matches the Rfam family "Bacterial small subunit ribosomal RNA", at positions 28 to 507 of the family's 1533-position model. The record is from RNAcentral.